GACUCUCCAAAAUUCUUGAAAUGACUUAUAAUUUGGAACGGAGGGAGGGAGUAUAUGAUUAGCCACCUCCAACAAAGAUACCAAUGCAAAGAUCAUCUUGAUCUUCAAGGAAGAUCUUGUCGUAGCAUAUGCUAUGGCUGCUGAGGCUGAGAUCAAGAUAGGUCAGGUUGAUGACGUCCAGGAGCUGCACCGGGCGGGCCUGGAGACAGUGCCGGAUCGCUACAUCAGGCCCAGGGAUGGGGACGACCGGCCGGGCGGCGACAACGUCUGCGCUCUCGCGCACAUCCCGGUGAUCGACGUCGGCGAGCUCACGCGCGACGACGAGCUGAACAAGCUCAGGCUCGCCUGCGAGCAGUGGGGUUUCUUCCAGGCUGUGAACCAUGGCAUCGAGGACGAGCUGCUGGACGAGAUGGAGAAGCUGACGAGGGAGUUCUUCAUGCUGCCUCUGGAGGAGAAGGAGAAGUACCCCAUGGCGCCAGGCGGCAUCCAGGGCUACGGCCACGCCUUCGUCUUCUCCGAGGACCAGAAGCUGGAAUGCUGGACUGGUGCAACAUGCUGGCGCUGGGCGUGGAGCCCGGCUUCAUCCGGCAGCCCAAGCUGUGGCCGACGACCCCGGCCAGGUUCAAGGAGACCCUGGAGAGGUACUCCGUGGGAAUCAGGGCCCUGUGCCGGCGGCUGCUCGCCCACAUCGCCGAGACGCUGGGCCUGGCGCCGGGCACGUUCGGCGACAUGUUCGGCGAGGCGGUGCAGGCGGUGCGGAUGAACUUCUACCCGCCGUGCCCGCGGCCGGAGCUGGUGCUGGGGCUCAGCGCGCACUCCGACGGGAGCGCGGUCACCGUGCUCCAGCAGGACAUGUCCUGCGCCGGCCUGCAGGUGCUCAAGGACGGCGCCUGGGUGCCCGUCCACCCCAUCCCACACGCCCUCGUCAUCAACCUCGGCGACUCGCUCGAGGUUCUGACGAACGGCAGGUACAAGAGCGUGGAGCACCGGGCGGUGACCAACGGCGAGCAGGACCGGCUGUCGGUGGUGACGUUCUACGCGCCGGCCUACGACGUCGAGCUGGGCCCGCUGCCGGAGUUCGUCACCGACGAGGUGCCGUGCCGGUACCGGAAGUUCAACCACGGCGAGUACAGCCGCCACUACGUCACCAGCAGGCUCGAGGGCAAGAAGACGCUCGAGUUCGCCAAGAUUGAUCAGACCACUACCACUGCUCCAGAAGAACCCUGUAGUUGCAUAUAGUUUGGUCUGGCUGCCUCUCUAGCUGUGCUUGGAAAUUGCAGUUGCAGACAGAUCAAGUAGUCCUGAUGAGUGAUGAGCCAGAGCCCAGAAGGCCAAAACUACCUCCUCUUAGUAGUUCAGAAGUAUAUAAGCAGUGCCGUAUGCCGUAUCCCCUUUCUUAUCUCUAAAGGAAAGUACUGCACGGAUACAGUAUUUGGUGCUUGUGACUGAGGACACGUGUUUUGAUCUCCUACCAGCUAGUAUCAUUUGGUGCCA
Molecule: RNA transcript, 1494 nt
Organism: Panicum virgatum (switchgrass)
Lineage: Eukaryota; Viridiplantae; Streptophyta; Magnoliopsida; Poales; Poaceae
Gene name: protein SRG1-like
Exons: 3
Source: RefSeq, a predicted model, not a curated record